RNAcentral lists this ribosomal RNA (607 nucleotides) under uncultured fungus. Its description in RNAcentral is "eukaryotic LSU rRNA". It matches the Rfam family "Eukaryotic large subunit ribosomal RNA", at positions 38 to 664 of the family's 3401-position model. The record is from RNAcentral. Lineage: Eukaryota; Fungi.
GCAUAUCAAUAAGCGGAGGAAAAGAAACCAACAGGGAUUGCUCUAGUAACGGCGAGUGAAGCAGCAAUAGCUCAAAUUUGAAAUCUGGCGUCUUCGACGUCCGAGUUGUAAUUUGUAGAGGAUGCUUCUGAGUGGCCACCGACCUAAGUUCCUUGGAACAGGACGUCAUAGAGGGUGAGAAUCCCGUAUGCGGUCGGAAAGGCGCUCUAUACGUAGCUCCUUCGACGAGUCGAGUUGUUUGGGAAUGCAGCUCUAAAUGGGAGGUAAAUUUCUUCUAAAGCUAAAUAUUGGCCAGAGACCGAUAGCGCACAAGUAGAGUGAUCGAAAGAUGAAAAGCACUUUGGAAAGAGAGUUAAAAAGCACGUGAAAUUGUUAAAAGGGAAGGGAUUGCAACCAGACUUGCUCGCGGUGUUCCGCCGGUCUUCUGACCGGUCUACUCGCCGCGUUGCAGGCCAGCAUCGUCUGGUGCCGCUGGAUAAGACUUGAGGAAUGUAGCUCCCUCGGGAGUGUUAUAGCCUCUUGUGAUGCAGCGAGCGCCGGGCGAGGUCCGCGCUUCGGCUAGGAUGCUGGCGUAAUGGUCGUAAUCCGCCCGUCUUGAAACACGACC